Molecule: long non-coding RNA, 1730 nt
Filed under: Schizosaccharomyces pombe (fission yeast)
Lineage: Eukaryota; Fungi; Ascomycota; Schizosaccharomycetes; Schizosaccharomycetales; Schizosaccharomycetaceae
Source: RNAcentral
GCAAAAAAUUAGCUUGCUUGCAGCAGUAGGUUUACAAAGAAAGAGACGAAAUGGCUUUAAAUUGUAAUUAUCUAUUUGUCAAAAUAGACUGUGAGUGUCUUGAACAUUUCAUCCAAAUAAAUAAUCAAAUUGAUGUCCAGUAUGUUGAUCGAUAUAAGACAGGAAACUGAAAAAUCUAGCAUGUUAAUGUCGUAUGUAAAUAAAGCACUUACAGUUUCUCUUUUUGUUCUAACUUAAUUAUGUCGGGGUAAAUAGUUUUAAUUUUUAAGGACAGAAUGUCUUCUUCAAAGCAAUCAAAUUGAAUUUUUUCUAGACCAUCUGUAACAGAAUCGUUAUAAGAAGAAAAUUUAAUAUCUUUUAAAAGAAGAACAUGACCUGGACUUUUACUAAUGUUCAUCGUUAUAUUUGGAUCGAACGCUUUGUCUAUUAAUCCCGUAGGAGCACAGCUUCGUAUAAUCAUCAGAACAUGAGCCAUCAUUUUACGAAUCUGAUUUAGCAUAAAAGAAUUACCUUUAAUCGUAACAGGAAUCCAUUCCCAGUUUUCAUAAACAAAAGGAGUUCCGCAAGUAACACUCUCAAUGAAUCGAUAAUUACUUGGUGAUGUGGAGUCAUCAGUGACAGUAAAGUUAUGAAAAUUAUGCCGGCCUUCGUAUUUCUUUAAAAGCUGUUGUAAAACCUUUAAACGAUCCUCUUUUAUACGAUAAUUCAUAUAGCAAUAAUAUUCAGCUUGCUUUAAAGCCUUCUUUAAUUUUGCUUGGGGAGGUAUUACAAUCCCAGCCGGAAUAGGCUUUUCAUAGAACAUACCUUUAAAUGGGUUAGUGAAUGCAUCUUUAUUAGUAUCAAACAUUUCUUGUAUUUCCUUCUGCUUAAGCUUCACUGUAUUCCAAAAAGAAAUCAAAUCGUUCAUUGAAUAAACUAAAUUUCUUUCUAACUCAUUAUCCAGUUUUCUUGAUAAGUUUUUCUGCAUUUUUUUAAAAAGAGGACAAGAGGGCUUAGGAGGAAGUAAAGCAAAAGAAGGAAUUAAGUAUUCAUAUGUCCUUGACUCGCAAGAAAUCCUAGGAUUAAAGUACUUUGGCGCAGGAAAGACACUCCACACACGAAUUUGAGAACAAAGUGCUUCAUUCAACUCAGUUUUAAGUAAGGAAAUAUCUAGUGGCUUAUCGACAAAAAGAUUUAAUGAUAUUAAAUUUCUUAAUGUAUGGACCCCUUUGUCUGUUCUAGCUGCUCGCGCAAUACACAAAUGUUCAGCAUCAAUGUUAUUUGUUUUUAAAUAGCCCAAUUUUUUAAGUACAGCUACAACAUCUCCUUCAAUUGUUUUAAGGGGAUUAUUUAUUUGAAUCCCAUGGUAACCAUAACCAGAAUAUCCCAAUAAAAUGAUGAUACGAACUUUGUUAGAUUCUUUUGUGCCCUCGAUUUUUUCUCGCUUUGGUAAUUUUGGUGUUUCUAGAUCCUCUGCGGGUAUAUGCUCCUGUUGAUUUUUUCUUUUCGAGAUAGAAGUCAUUUUUUAUAAAACAAAUCUUCUAAAAAAAUUUAAAGAAAAAAAAAACACCACAGUUUACUAUUAAUUACAAAAACGUAUUAAAACAAAAGACACAGAAAAUAUUGGUGUUUAAGUGUGGUAUGGACGCAAUCAAGAAUGAUGCACACGAGAUUGAAAUACGCUCAUUUUUUAGCGACAUAUUAAAAGUCUUUACAACUAAAAUAUUAGAUACGAAAAUAAGAUAUCCUAC